AUGUUGUCACAAUAUAUGGGAACCUGUGAGAGUUCCGCGGAGAUGGAUGAUGUAACCUGUUGUCACGGAACGAAGCGGCAGAGGUCUACGGCUGCAGGAUUUCUCCAGGGAACAUCUUGCCGUCACGCUUCACUGGAGUCUGAAGAGCGCCAGGGAAACCCUGACUGCAGGAGCGGGACGAGAGCUGAGACGAGAAAAGAGACAGAGCGUGAGGGAAUGAACGCAGCGGCGCGUGUGUGCGCGAGGCUCUGUGGGAGAGAAACAGUGGGAGGGCUGACUCUUGCGCAUUUGGAAAUUUGGCCUACAGUGCUUUAGGGAGUAGCAAAGAUGACAGAACACUCAAGAAUGACUCACAGAUGGAGAACGCACAUGAAGACGAGGGCUUGGAAAGGGGAAGCCAGCGAACAGCGUGAGCAGUGCAGUGCUGGAGCAUAUGAGGGCAAGAAGGACUCCCACACACACACACACACACACACACACACACACACACACACACACACACACACACACACACACACACACACACGUUAAGAGCAUACCAGCACUGUGUGUGCGUUAAGAAGGUUGGGUUUCUAAAUGACAGAUCAUUAUCAUGCUAAUUAAAGCAUUUUGUAGCUGUGACUCGUGCAGUAUUUGUGUGUGUGUGUGUGUCUAAUUAAGGCCGGUUCAUCAGCGCCCAGCUCAUUUACACCAUGCUAGAGCGACACCCUGAUUCAAGCACACGGACAGUAAUGAAGCUACUAAUUAUUAUGGCACUUUAACAUAUUUAGCCUUAACUGAGCCAACCCUGAACAGCUGAACCACCUCAACUGAACCAUGAACCCAACAAAGCUUCAGUAGUUCAACACAACCUAGCACAGCUGAGCCACCCAAACACAAUCCAACACAUGCAGAUAAACACGUCUACACGUCUGAACUACACCAAAACAUUUCCUUUUUUGGACUACAAAAAGGCUUUCAUGAACAAAAUGCACCCAGCAUGUCCCAAAUUCAAUUCAUCCACAAAAUGCAUGCAUUUUAUGAUAUGCUUAACAAUACACAAUGUUCUACAUUUGAAGAAGAUCAAUCUAGUUUUCAUGUUUUUUUU
Cyprinus carpio (common carp) is the source of this 1087-nucleotide long non-coding RNA. NCBI's taxonomy places the organism in Eukaryota, Metazoa, Chordata, Actinopteri, Cypriniformes, Cyprinidae. The record is from Ensembl.